Long non-coding RNA from Harpia harpyja (harpy eagle), 4271 nucleotides. RefSeq lists it as uncharacterized. The transcript is spliced from 2 exons. Lineage: Eukaryota; Metazoa; Chordata; Aves; Accipitriformes; Accipitridae. The record is from RefSeq and is a predicted model, not a curated record.
UACAGUAAUUCUGUGAAAUUCAUGCAGAGUUCAUUUUGUGUUUAGUUGGAUCAGUGUAUCAAACAUGUUGGUUUCUAUUUCCUUCAAUUUAUGCAGGUACUAAUGUUUGAACAAAGAUGCCACUGCAAAACAAGUAUUAAUAAAUACAGAAUAAUAAAUGUAAUACAAAGCCACUCAUUCUUAGUGGUAUGGACAGAAACCGUAACAGAACAUGUUUACUUAGGAAAGACUGCCAGCAACUUGUUUAUCUGACUCAGAAGCACUGGAGUGAAAAGUGAUGCCAGUUGGGUUUGUUAUGUAAAUACAACUUUUCACAGAUUUUUGAGUAUUUUUGUUCUCAGUAGAACAGUCUUAAGUUUGUUAGCUACAGGGAUAUAUGUGUUGUACAUAUUCAUGUUCUGGUGUAUGAUAAAGCUAUUACUAAAUUUACAUAAAAGACGUGUUUGUGGGGAAAUGAGUGGAUUCAGUUGACUUCCAUGCAAUUUUCAGCCUGUUCUAAUCCAGGUCAUACUGGUUGCUGCUUAAAAUAUGUGUCAAUUCUAGAACAAAGUACUAGUUCUCCAAGUCUGAAAUAAGCUCUUCUAGGUGAUAAUGUGCAAUUCAUCCAUCACUCUAGUCAGCUGUCAAGUAACAAUUCAGUAGCUUUCCCUUCUGUAGUUCUCUGGUUGAGGACAUGUCCUUAAAGAAAAAGUUGUUAUAUUUGCAAGCAUUUCUGAGAGGCAGAGAAGAAUUGCAAUGUUCAAAAACAUUUAUAUCCUAUCUAAAUCAGGAGCUGAAGUUUAAUUAUCCCCUUUAAAUUUUGAGCUGAUUGUAUGUGAACUUUAAUGAAAUCCAUUGAGCUUUGCAAAAAGCAUGGCUGAGAGUGGCAGCAGAAAAAUUAUUAGCUGCUCUUGAAGUCUAUGUAGUACAGACAGUGAACAGUUUCUUUGCACUAUUGCCUUUUUUCUUAAUUUCUGUUAUUUUCCUUGUAUUGUUCUAAAAAUAAUAUCCCACUGGCUGUCCCCAGUGAGACUCCUAAUUUGCAGUCAUACUAGCCUAAACUAUAUUAAAGAGCAUUAUUUAAUAGCUUUAGAAACAGCAAUUAGUUUUAUUUUCAUAAAGUCUUAAGUUGAAAGUUGCACCAAUGUUAAAUACCCAAAUAUAUGGCUUAAAAGCAUAGAAAAUGGAAGGUGUAUUUCCAGAGUGACUUAACCCUUUCUAUGCUGAUAAAAUCAAUAGAGGGUACUGGUUUAUCUGUUACCUCUAAUAAUUAAAGUCUUAGCUUUAGGCUUCCAAAUCGGAAUGCUUUUGCUGGAGUCAUUAUGAAUCUUUCUACUAGUAAGUGAAGGCACUAACAGUCAGUGGUUUUUAUUUUACGCUUUUUAAAUAUGAAGAAAGAAACACCUACCUUUUAAGGUUUAGUGUUUAAAAAUGUCAGAGAACCUCAUUUGGUAAGACAGAUUGGUUUAACUUUCCCUACAAAGAUAUGGAGACCAGAAUGAUAUGAAUACUGAUUUGUGCGCUCUCCUUAAAAAUACUAAAAGGAAAAGCAAAAGCAUGAGAAGAUAAAUCUAAUUUAGUUGUUCCAACAGAAUAUGCCACCUUGGCUCCGUUACUUUGGCAGGCAAACAAUGGUGGGCUCAGCUUUUGCAGUAUUAGGUCUAAAAAGAUGUAAGUCUUGUGCCUGUUCAGUAUAGGAUCUUUCUGGAAUAAAAUAAUACUGAAGUUGUUCUCCUUCAGACGGUGGUUGUGUAUGAAUGUGGAUAGGUCUGCGACUGCCAUCUCGCCUCCAGUGCUUGGCUUUGAGCAUGCUGUAGCAUGGCUUAUUCAACUGGUCACACGUGGCAACAGGCUUGAUUUUUUUUUUUUUUUUUUUUGAAGGUAUUGACGUUGAUAACUUUGCCAGACUUCUAACUUCUGUCCCACAGUAGAAUGGUAGAUAACAGGCAAACAAGUACCUGUAGAUAGUUACUAAGAAGAAUAUGCAAAUCAACAUGCAAAUGUUAAAUAUGCCUUUUAUGUGCAUAAUCACUUCUUAGAAAUAUAGUUGAAGAAAACGCUGUCAAUUAUUUUAGCUUGUUGGUUAUUAUAUAUUGAUAGAAUCCAUGUAAUUUGAAAGAAAUGGGUGUAUAGCUGAAAAUGAGGUAAUUCAGAAAGCAAACGUAAGUGGUCUGUUAUUUGGAACACACAGUCAGUACCUCACUUAAUAUAGUGCUGUUCCUGGUGAGGAGGAACUGUGCAAUACGGUCGUAUUCACUAGGUCAGGACAGAUACUCUCAGAAGUUCUGAUUAUGGAAGCAAUAGACUGAGUUAUCACACCUAGAUCUUUUUGAAAUGCUGAAGGAUACAGUUUAUUUUUUGUGCCAUUUAAUGCAGUCAGGGUAGUGAAUAGUUACAGUAUCAGUAUCAUUGAUCACUAAGGUAAAAAAAAGUUAUUUUAUUUGCAUCUUCAUACUUACAGUAGAACUGAAAAUAGAGAGCUUAAUUGUUGCUUUCAGUUUGUCAUUUGAAAUGUGGAUGCUUCAAAGGAAAUCUAGUAACUGCUCAUCAAGUGCUUUACUGUGCCGCUCCUGUCUAUCCAGACUGGUCAUCAGGCCGGUCUAAUAGUUCUAUUCCCUUUCCCUUUUCCUCCUUAAGAAUAUUUUAACCACUGGGAUAGCUGUAAUCAGUAAUAAGUUAAAAAUACUCAUAAAUGUAUGCAGUGUAAAGAACUGGUUUUUAAACAAGAUCACGUUCUUGAGAACUUGGAACAUGAUAUUGUACUACAUUAUAGAACUACUGCACACUACAAAGAAAGGUUGGUUGGCUCGCAGGAACUCAAAGAGGGCUUGAAGUUUGUAUGGAACUAGUUUGAUGCAAACUAGUUCCAACAAUUCAUAUAUAAAUAUAUUUUUAAAAACUCCAUUUCAUUGUCUUAUGGGUAGGAACCUGAAAAGUGAGAGAUCAGAUCAGGAUUUAUUCUACAAGUUUCCCAGACAAGGAGUUUGCUAUGAAGCAAAAACUAAUUGAUAAUUUAAGAAAAUAAUUCCACUUACCUGGAAUUUGAGGUCAUGAGUGACAUACUCAAGAACUAUUCAAUUUUGGCCAAAUUAGUGCCUGUUACUAAUCUGUGAAUCUAUGAACUUUUCUAUUUAGGUUUAUCUCGGAGUAGGAAAGGCUUUUGGCAACAAUAUUUUGUAUAGUACUAAGCCUUCCAUAACAAUCUUAGCUUGUGAAUAUUGUGCCUAUGUGAAUGUGCAGAUGACCUGACGUAUACAAGUAAACCAAGAAGGAAUCUGUAAGUAGGACAAUUAGAUCUAGGCGCUGUUUUUCGGUAAACUUACCACCACUUUGGGGGGAGAAGACAUAGGAAGUUUCAGACAGGUUGUAUAAUUCUAUCUUCAUGCAGUAAGGAGCAAAAAGUACUGAGAAAGACAGUGUCAUUUGAAAAUGGAAGUGUGCUCACAGCUGCUCAAGACGAUGUAAGAUAUAUGUGUAAUGCAAGUGUAACUCUACAAGGAGACUAUUUGAAGUACAUACUGUACUUCAAAGGCUAUUGUAAUAUUGUUCAUUAACACGACUGAUCUAUUUUUGGGCUGAUCUCCAAACUGUUAUUCCUUCAAAACAGGUGAAGAAGAAACCAAGAAGUGGUCAGCUGGUGGUGACUUAGGGGCCAGGUACAGCUUUUGAGUAGCCGGCUGUGGCUUCUGUGUUGGGGUUACCUUGAGGGACUGGCUGUGCUAAUGGGAAGGCAUCUGUGGGACAACUCAAGCUCAAGUGGAAACAGGUCACUAUGGUACACAGCAACAUACACACACCAAAUUAAGUAGUAGGAGUGCCCCAUCUAUGAUCUAGUCUCCAAAGUAUGUCAUACACAUCAUCUGGCUCUUGGCUGCGAGCUGUUGCCAUGACCUGUGGAAGGUUGCUAAGUUUCAGGCUGUUUACACUCUCAUACUAGACUGCAAUUCCUAUUUUCAAGGGUUUCUUUACGGCUGGAUGAAAACAGUGUUUGUUCCUUAGCAAGGAUUAUUUUUGUGUCAGGUAUAUAAUGUACAGGAACAUUCUGUCAAGCAGUAAUUUGAUGGGGGUCCUAAGCACACUGAAACCAUACUCCAGUUACAGAUGGUGCAUUAGACUGGAGCACAGUUACUGGGGUCUGUGUGCAUCUGCUUUUGAAAGUGGAAGGAUUAUGUAAGUGUCCACAAAAAAAGGCACAUUCUUCUACUUAAAAAUCCAUCUGUCAUAUUGCACAUCAAUUUGGGGUCAGAUUGUACUGUCCUAAUUAAUGGAAUAAAGUUUUAGUAUUCCAUACA